RNAcentral lists this long non-coding RNA (1532 nucleotides) under Marmota monax (woodchuck). Lineage: Eukaryota; Metazoa; Chordata; Mammalia; Rodentia; Sciuridae. The record is from RNAcentral.
AGUCUCCAUGGAUGAAGAUUGAAAGCAAUUUUAUCAGAUCAUAAAGUCAUCAAGAUGGUGAAAAGGGUAAGUCAAUUAAAUUGUAUAAUCAACAAAUAUUUAUUGAUUUCCUAAUUCAAACAAAGCAUUGUUUUGGAAACUGAGCAAAUGGAUGGUAACAGUUCUUUCUGUGUUCUGGAUUCAAGUUCUCUGUCAGAUAAAUCAUUUUUAAAUAUUUUUUCCAGUUUGUGUUUGCAUUUUGAAGCACAAAAGUAGUUAGUUUUGAUGAGGUCCAGAUAAUUUUGCAACUUACCAAAUCCCUUUGGUAUCAAAAAAUAAGAAAACCCCCACCAUUUGUGUCCUGGAAAAUGGCUUCAUGCAAAGACACAACUUCACUUAUAUUGCCUUGAAAAGGCUCACAGAUACCAAUCCUCCAUCCCAUUUGCCUCAUAAAUGAUAAAUUGAACUGUGGGUCUCCACUGGUCAACACUUAUAACAACAUUCUUGUUAACCAAGCUUUAAUUAACCUUCUUUCCUUCUGCUAGGUCCUUGAUCUUUGGCCCAUCUUCUGUCUAAGACAAUAUACAACUCUUCCCUAAUAGUCCCUCCUGUGAAAACUCUGGCUCCAGGGUUAAACAGUAUCUGAUACAUGUCUCAUCUCUGAUGAUAUCUGAUCAUGACACUUCUUACUCCCCAGAAAAGAAAAAAAAAAAAACAUUUUUUCCUAAGACUUCUGAUACUUGCAAAUCUUAUAUCAGAGAAUUGUCUCUAUUAGUUCUCCACCCCCUCUUGUUAUAAUCCUUUCAGAUAUAAUCUCUCUUUACUGAAUUGCUUUUUAUUUGACAAGUCCAAUUUAUGAACUUCACCUAUAUGAAUUUUGCUUUUGGUGUCAUAUUUAGGAUCUCUUUGUCUAAAGUAAAGACAUCAAGAUUUUCCUGAAGUGGCCUUUUAAAUAUUCUGUAGUUUUAUUUUAGAAUUUUAGAUCUCUGGCCCACUUUGAGUUAUUUUUGAUGUAAGGUAAAGGUAACAAUUCAUCCUUUGCUAUGUAGAGACAUCAUUGUUUCAGCAUACUUCUUUGAAUAUGCUUUCUUCUCUGCAAUGACUUUACUUGACACCAUUAUAGAAAGUCAAUUUAUCGCAAAUGCAAGGGUUCACUUCUAUACUCUCAAUUCUGUUUUAUUGGUAUGUAGGUCCAUCUUUUCAUCAGUACCAGACUCUAUUACUUUAGCCUUAUGUUUAUGUUCUGAAAAUUGAAAGUGAAUUGAAAGUUAUUCUGAUUUUUUAAAAUUGUUUCCCAUGUCCUGAUUCAUUUGAAUUUCCAUAGUAAUCUUUUCAUUUCAAUUUCUGCUAAAACCCUUCAAGAACCGUGAUAAGAAUUGUGUUAGAAUUAUAGGUCAUUUUGAGAAUUGCCAUCUUAACAAUAUUUACUCUUCAAACCUCUGAACAUGGAUUGUCUCUUUAUUUAGAUUUUCUUUAAUUUCUCUCGGAAAUCUUUUGUAUUUUUAAAUCUGGUACUUCUUUUGUUAAAUUUAUUCCAAAGUAUUAGAUUAUUU